Long non-coding RNA from Sipha flava (yellow sugarcane aphid), 2358 nucleotides. RefSeq lists it as uncharacterized. The record is from RefSeq and is a predicted model, not a curated record. The transcript has 3 exons. NCBI's taxonomy places the organism in Eukaryota, Metazoa, Arthropoda, Insecta, Hemiptera, Aphididae.
ACCACAGAAUUUGCCAUUUAAAAUGAUGGCUUCGAUAACAUUUUUCAUUAAUUAUUUAACGACUUUUCGCGUGCUGUUGCACAACCAUGGUUGUUUCAAAUUACGAAGUAAAAUAAACGGAGAUCCAACCUUCAGUUGUAAAUUAUGCGGUGGCAUGCCUGGUAAAUGCAAUAAGUUUAAAAACACUGUUGGAUAAUUUAUAGCUUCAGUAGCAUUGUAAACUGUAUCGAUUUGUAUGACACCAAGUCUCCUGGUUACAAAUGUUGUAUAUUGAGAUUCAAUUCGUUGAUGUCCACAUUUUUUGCUACUAAAAUUGCUCUUUCUGCCAGCCACUCAUGAUUUGUGUAUUGUCUGUGGUUGCGCCACUACCGAUCUUACAAAUAUGGCGGUUGUCGGCAACGACUUGCGUUUUGUGUUGAGGACGGGAGUGCAAGAGGGUUAACCACGACAGCACGAUCUUUAGGUCGGAAACAGAAACAUGUGUAAAUGGUCGCUUUGAUCAGUAGCAGUGACGCCAUUUCGGUAGUAAAAGCCGACAGAUAUUUAGUCUUUAAUUCCUAACUCAACCAAAGUACAAGAACAAACAAUCAACAAAGUCUGAACUACUCGUAGCAGAUAUCAGUAAACGGAUGUGAACGAUCUCACUAUAAUUUUGAAGAGCUUAUAUUUAUAAGGUAGAGUGUUGUAAAAUAUAUAUAAAUUGAAACCAUUGUAAUCCCUAUGCUUUGGAUUUGAGUCAGAAUUUGUGCAACACCUGAUCGAGCAUAUGACUGUACCACUUGAAAUCAGUGGGCCAACGCGCGAGGCGAGAAGUUUAUGCUUAUAAUAACUUUUUUGAUAGAGCAAGAGGAAGAAGAACUUGAUAGCGAGUUUUCAAGGUCUGAGGUCUAAAGAGUUACUAAAGUUGUUGCAUUCUGAAGAGUGAGGUUCUCUUUUUCGGUGGUAGGGGAUAGAGCUACACACGGUAUACAUGACGUGGCAAGAGUACGACCUCUUUGAUCAUAUACGUCUCGUGUGGUAGCUAGCAAUUCGACAUUUACAACUUCUUGAAGGUUUAUGAUACUACAGAGCUACAGUCGUCGGUAACCAACUGCACUGAGUAGAAACUCAAUUUAUACUUGGAGCGGUACGGUAGCUGAAGAUUUGGAAGUCGAAUUGCGACGUUAGGGAUAAUAAAAAAGCUACGAAUAUCGGUAACUACCGCAUGCUAGUUGUUCUUUUGUUUUGUGAAAAGGGGUCUUGUCAGGAAGUGUGAGGUUUUAGAGAGUGUAUGACUACAAUCAGGUCCUAAAACGUAGGAGAGAAAAAUAUUUUUUGGGGAGUGAUAGAACAUUGAGCAAAGGUAACCGAUCGAUAAGGACUGGCCCGUUUGUGGAUUUAUGUGGUGAGUGUUCAUAAGUCGCGGAAAAUCUGGUUGUGUUUGAGUGUUAGGUUUAUUCGUGGAGGGUGAGUAAGAGCUACACACAAUUUUAUCCAUGUGAUAAAAAAAAAAAAUUAUGAAAAUUUAUAUCCCGUCUAGUAGUUAACAACUCAAUAUUCGAAUCGCAAGGUUAGUGAUAAUAGAGAGCUACAAUCUUCAGUAACCACCUGUCAAGAGAAGCAACUGGUUGCUUAUUUGAAGCCGCAUGGUAGCAUUUCGUAUGUUUGGUGAAUUGCGGACUUAUCUGUGGUAGUUUGAUUUGAGUUGGAAUUGUGAGGUUUUUUUUUGCUGAAGUAUAAGGUUUUUUUUCUUGGGGGGAGGGGAUAGAGCUACACACGAUCUUCCUGACGUGGCAAUAGAACGAUCUCUUUGACCUUGGAAGUCUCGUGUGGUGGCUAGCAAUUCGACUGUUAGAAGAUUCAUGAUACUACAGGGCCACACUCGUCGAUAACCAACUGCAUAGAGUAGAAACUCAAUUCAUAUUUGGAACCGUACGGUGGCUGAAGACAAGCCAGUCGAAUUGCAAGAGUAGCAGAGCUACAAUCGUCGGUAACCACAUAGCAAGAGCAGCAGUUCAUUGCUUCUUUGGAGCCGUACGGUAGCUGAUCUUUUGUUUGUUUUGUGAAAUUUGGUCUUUUUUAGAAGUAUGAGGUUUCGGCGGUGCAUUAGGACGUGAAAAUAAGAGGUGAAAAAUUGGUUUGGAAAUCGGGCCAGUCCAAAAGUCUUUAGAUGUUAACAUUUGGUCUCGUUUAUUUGUUUGGUGCACAUACGAUUAUAUAUGUGGAUCGAGCGCAUAUCCAAUGACCGUAUCCAAAGCAAAAGGAACAAAAAAUAAAAAAAUAUACUGUUAACUCAAUUUAAGAUAAGUUAAUCAUUAUUGUAGUAUAAAACUUUUACUUGUAAUAAAAAAAUGACAAAAAAAGUGCUGUUAUUCUAAA